This 75-nucleotide transfer RNA is filed under the name Eubacteriales bacterium. Its description in RNAcentral is "tRNA-Arg". It matches the Rfam family "tRNA". Rfam says of the family: Transfer RNA (tRNA) molecules are approximately 80 nucleotides in length. Their secondary structure includes four short double-helical elements and three loops (D, anti-codon, and T loops). Lineage: Bacteria; Bacillati; Bacillota; Clostridia; Eubacteriales. The record is from RNAcentral.
GUCCCUGUCGUCUAGUGGAUAGGAUAACAGUUUCCGGAGCUGUGGGCGCGGGUUCGAUUCCUGCCAGGGACGCCA